GGGGAGAGCGGCGAGAAGCUGGGUUGUAGUGGGAACUGGGGUUUGGCAGGGUUGGGGGGCUGGGGUGUCCCCUCCCUCUGGUCCCCGCCCGCGGCCGCUGCCCACGAGUCGUCCAUAAAAGGCAAGGAGCUCAGGUCGCGCCAAACUUAGUCAUGCGGCGGCGGCCCGCGGCUGCCCGCGCGACUUCCUCCGUCGACUUCCCGUUUCGAGAGCGGAGCCCGCAGGGGAUGCGAGGUGUGGUCCUGCCUUUCGAAAUGGCCCCGAUUCCACUAAGAGGACCGGCGAUGCCCGGCCCCCCGUCCUGCAGAGGGGACCGCGGAGGGCCCGCAGGCACACACCGGCGCUUGUGUUUAAAGUGGGGGAUGGGAGUUCUCACUUUGUAUAGCCCAGGCUAGCCUGCCUCGGCUUCAGAGUGCUGGGAUCACAAGAGUGAGCCAUUACUCUGGGCUUAGGAAUGCAUGAAGGGUUUCCAGGAGGCGCAGCUGUUACUCUGGAGCGGGAAGGAAGCUUGGAUAGGAAGGUUGAGAACCCUGGGCCUUAGCGGCUGUCAUGAAACUAUGACGCGAAGGCUGAAGCAUGAGUCCCACGUACACAGUGCACCAGACACAGAACACGGGUAGCAUGAAGGUCUUGUGGUGGCAGCUGGCUUUGGAUGCCAAUCUGGAGAGGACGGUAGGGGACAUGGCGGGGUUGGCUUCCAAGGACAUUGACAAAGCAUGUACUGGUGGACCAGCUUGCGGCCUAAUGUACUGAAAGCUACUUAUUAUUCCCACAGUUGCAUCUGUGGGCCCUCAGAAGUGACUCUGUAGAUUUCCUGGGAGCUGCUGGGCAGAGAGAGGGGAGAGGAGUCCAGCCUCAGAUGCUUCCUCCCAGCUCUGAUAUGACCACCCUCCCUCCAGGCCUCUGCAGACACCACUGACAGUGCAGGGGGAUGCCACAGGAGACCCUAGAGUGGGAGAGGAGAACUCCUCGAGAAGGUUGGGGAUUCUACUCUGUCCUCGGAGAACUCCCAUCUCUGACCUUGGUAUAGGACUGGGGUCUGACUCUGGUUUCAAUCUGAGCCCAGGCAGAGGUCUGGGAGAGCAAGGAGUUCCCUUAUUGAUUCUACUCUCUCCCUGCAUAUAAAAGCAGCCAUUGGACAGAGAGGUGAAAUGGGUCCUUUGUCAUCAGGUAUUAGGAGCAUCGAGGGUAUUUGUAAGCCCAGGCUGGGGCGAGGCAUGCCGUAAGAUUUAAGAGCACUGGGCUAGGGUAGAGGUGCCAGCUGUUCUUCAUCCAGCCUCAGUUCGCACACAUGAGCACAACGACGUUAAGAAUGAUUCUUGUUGGGGUUGGGGAUUUAGCUCAGUGGUAGAGUGCUUGCCUAGUAAGUGCAAGGCCCUGGGUUCGGUCCUCAGCUCCAAAAAAAGAAUAACUUUGUGUGCCACUUGGAAAUAAAUGCACGCUCCCGAAUCCAACUUGUCCUUCUUAGAAAAUAUGUCCACCAUUGCUAGGAGGACAGUUACAGGCUGGGCUCAGACCGGAGAGCAAAGACGGCCCCACCCUUGAAUUCCAAGUAGUUCAGACCUAGCAUCACCACUCCUGGAUAAGCUGCUAUGUUCGUGAUAGCCGCCAGGUGGCGAUAGAGACGCGCCGAGCGGCUCAGGCUGGGCGGGGCCGUACCUGCGUGUACGGAGGACUCCAGGGGAGACGCCCACAAUCCUAUUUGGGAAGAGAAAAUCUGAGUUCUAAGAGGCAAAAUAUCCCGGCCUGGCGGCGAAGGCCUCUAAUCCUAACGCUUAGGAGGCAGAGGCAGGCCGAUCUCUAUGAGUUUGAGGCCAGCCUAGUCUACAUAGUGAGUUCUGAGACAGCCAGGGCUAUGUAGAUAUGUAAAGAGAUUCUGUCUAGAUGGCCUGAGUUUGAUCCUUGGUAUGCACACGAAAAACUGGAUUCAGGGCCAUGCAUCUAUAACCCCAGAACGCCUACAGCAAAGCGAGAGAAAGAGGCCCGAGAGUCUUCAGAAAACUUGCUGGCUCAUCGGCCAGCUAGCCUGGAGUAGGGGAAGAGCAGCCCCAGAAAUGAGAUACAGAAAAGGGUCAUGUGCUGGGUGUGUCGGUGUUGUGGCACAUGCCUUGACACUGGCAGAUAGAAGGCAGGGGCCAGCAGUCUCUACGGGGCACCAGGAGUCCAACUUUUCAUAUGAGUACUGGGCACCUAAAUCAAGUUCCCAUAUACUUUAUCUA
Rattus norvegicus (Norway rat) is the source of this 2219-nucleotide non-coding RNA. Lineage: Eukaryota; Metazoa; Chordata; Mammalia; Rodentia; Muridae. The record is from RefSeq and is a predicted model, not a curated record.